AUAUACAAGGGCAAGCUCUCUGU
Molecule: microRNA, 23 nt
Filed under: Eptesicus fuscus (big brown bat)
Lineage: Eukaryota; Metazoa; Chordata; Mammalia; Chiroptera; Vespertilionidae
Description: efu-miR-381
Gene: efu-miR-381
Source: miRBase by way of RNAcentral